This is a long non-coding RNA of Astatotilapia calliptera (eastern happy), 1447 nucleotides long. Lineage: Eukaryota; Metazoa; Chordata; Actinopteri; Cichliformes; Cichlidae. The record is from Ensembl.
GGAACAGGCACAGACCAUGUUAAUUUCCACAAAUCAUAGACAAAUGCAAUUUAAUAUAUUCCACAGGACAUAUUAUACACCUUACAGAUUACAUAAAAUUGAUAUUAAUUACUCUCCCAAAUGUUUGAGAUGUAAGGUGAUAGAUGGUGAUCUCCUUCAUAUGAUGUGGAAUUGCCCAGUAAUAGAGGAGUUCUGGAGACGGACUACUGAAAUAAUUUCAAGGGUAAUUGGGAUCCAAGUCGAAAUGGACCCAAAACUAUGGAUUUUAGGUGACAUAGAUUCUAUAAACGUGGAUUACCACAAGAAAUAUUUUAUUUUACUUGCAAGUACUGCAGUUAAAAAAAUGUAUUCUGACACAUUGGAAAUCUGAAAAUUCUCCAACACUGAGAUAUUGGAUUAAUGAGUUAGCAUCCUACUGUACACCUGAGAAGAUAUCGCAUAGUGUAAAAGGGAAAUACGGAACCUUUAAAAAAAUUUGGGGACCAUUUCUUUCAGUAUUACCGUCUUUGGACUUGACAGAAUAUAGAGAUGACGUAAAUUCCUCUGGGUUUACCCUGAAUUGAUCCUCGGUUAGGCCCUUCUGAUCAGAGUUCUUGAAUGUUGUGCUGAUUCUUGUGUAUAGACGGGUGUAAAUAUGGGCUGUUUGGAUACACGAAUGUGAUGAAGUUGAGAGCCAUACAGGGGUAAAGGGGUGGGGGGAUGGUGGGAGGGGUUCACACGAUAUGUUUUUCUUUCUUUUUUUUUCUUUUUUUUUUUUAAAUUUUUGUAAUUACCAAUACUGUUACUAUUAUAAUUAUUAUUUAUUAUUAUUAUUAUUAAUACGCCCGUAUUUUCUGUGUUCGGUCCUCAGAUGGGUGAGGCAAUGUUAGAAAGAUAAAGAUACUAGAGUGUGUUCCUGAGAAUUUUUUUUUUUUUUUUUUUUGGUCAUAAUGACCAGUCAAGCUUUGGCUAGUUGAUGAUACUUUGUCCCAUAACUGUAAACGUCUUUUAUUGUUUGUUUCUGUUUGUUUGUUGUUCAUUUUCAAUUUAAAAAAUGAAAAUAAAAAGUUAAAAAAAAAACAAAAACAAAAAACUCUGGUAUAGCCUCCUCAAACAGUGUCCUCAUGGCAGCCAUGUUAUUGGUCACAUGAUGUCAGUAAAGAUGCUCCAGAAGCAUAAACACAGUCCAGAGGUCCAGCUUAGGUGAAGCGAGCAGCUACAGCCACCUGUGUCACCAUCCACCUGUCAGUCAAAGAGGCCACGCCCCCUAAUAAUGGAAGCUUUAAAAUGAUCUUAGAGACCCAACAGUUUGUGUAUCCGGCUGUAAACAUGUUUAUUUCUGCUUUAAAGUUUUAACAUGGAACUCACUCACUGCUGCCUCUGCUGGACGUCAGAGGAAUUGCAGGGUGGUGAUGAGUGGGCAUGAGUGGGUGGAGCCUCAGAUCCCUGCUCUGAGCUCAGAGUGCUG